Molecule: ribosomal RNA, 912 nt
Filed under: Trichophyton rubrum
Lineage: Eukaryota; Fungi; Ascomycota; Eurotiomycetes; Onygenales; Arthrodermataceae
Description: LSU rRNA
Rfam family: Eukaryotic large subunit ribosomal RNA
Source: RNAcentral
AGCAUAUCAUGAGCGGAGGAAAAGAAACCAACAGGGAUWGCCCCAGUAACGGCGAAGUGAAGCGGCAAGAGCUCAAAUUUGAAAUCUGGCCUCCCCCGGGGGUCCGAGUUGUAAUUUGCAGAGGAUGCUUCGGGCGCGGCCCCCGUCUAAGUUCCUUGGAACAGGACGUCAGAGAGGGUGAGAAUCCCGUCUUGGGCGGGCGGCCCGCGCCCGUGUGAAGCUCCUUCGACGAGUCGAGUUGUUUGGGAAUGCAGCUCUAAGCGGGUGGUAAAUUUCAUCUAAAGCUAAAUACCGGCCGGAGACCGAUAGCGCACAAGUAGAGUGAUCGAAAGGUUAAAAGCACCUUGAAAAGGGAGUUAAACAGCACGUGAAAUUGUUGAAAGGGAAGCGCUUGCGGCCAGACUCGGGGGGCGGGGUUCAGCGGGCGCUCGUCGCCCGUGCACUGCCCGCUCCCCGGGCCAGCAUCAGCUUCGACGGCCGGUCAAAGGCCCCCGGAAUGUGUCGUCUCUAGGGACGUCUUAUAGCCGGGGGUGCAAUGCGGCCCGUCGAGACUGAGGAACGCGCUCCGGCUCGGAUGCUGGCGUAAUGGCCGUAAGCGGCCCGUCUUGAAACACGGACCAAGGAGUCUAACAUCCACGCGAGUGUUCGGGUGUCAAACCCGUGCGCGCAGUGAAAGCGAACGGAGGUGGGAGCCCCCCCCAGGGCGCACCAUCGACCGAUCCUGAAGUCUUCGGAUGGAUUUGAGUAGGAGCGUGGCCGUUGGGACCCGAAAGAUGGUGAACUAUGCCUGAAUAGGGGUGAAGCCAGAGGAAACUCUGGUGGAGGCUCGCAGCGGUUCUGACGUGCAAAUCGAUCGUCAAAUUUGGGCAUAGGGGCGAAAGACUAAUCGAACCAUCUAGUAGCUGGUUCUGC